UGCGGAUGUGGCGAAAUUGGUAGACGCGCUAGAUUUAGGUCCUAGUAACUUUGGUUUUGAGAGUUCGAGUCUCUCCAUCCGCAU
This 84-nucleotide transfer RNA is filed under the name Coscinodiscus granii. Its description in RNAcentral is "tRNA-Leu". It matches the Rfam family "tRNA". From Rfam's summary of the family: Transfer RNA (tRNA) molecules are approximately 80 nucleotides in length. Their secondary structure includes four short double-helical elements and three loops (D, anti-codon, and T loops). Lineage: Eukaryota; Bacillariophyta; Coscinodiscophyceae; Coscinodiscales; Coscinodiscaceae. The record is from RNAcentral.